GAUGAACGCUGGCGGCGUGCUUAACACAUGCAAGUCGAGGGGCAGCACGGUGUAGCAAUACACUGGUGGCGACCGGCGCACGGGUGAGUAACACGUAUCCAACCUGCCGCAUACUCCGGAAUAGCCUUUCGAAAGAAAGAUUAAUGCCGGAUGGCAUGUAUGUCCUGCAUGGGAUUUACAUUAAAGAUUCAUCGGUAUGCGAUGGGGAUGCGUUCCAUUAGCUUGUUGGCGGGGUAACGGCCCACCAAGGCAACGAUGGAUAGGGGUUCUGAGAGGAAGGUCCCCCACAUUGGAACUGAGACACGGGUCCAAACUCCUACGGGAGCAGCAGUGAGGAAUAUUGGUCAAUGGACGAGAGUCUGAACCAGCCAAGUAGCGUGAAGGAAGACUGCCCUA
This 396-nucleotide ribosomal RNA is filed under the name uncultured bacterium. Its description in RNAcentral is "bacterial SSU rRNA". It matches the Rfam family "Bacterial small subunit ribosomal RNA", at positions 28 to 419 of the family's 1533-position model. The record is from RNAcentral.